RNAcentral lists this ribosomal RNA (487 nucleotides) under uncultured bacterium. RNAcentral describes it as "bacterial SSU rRNA". It matches the Rfam family "Bacterial small subunit ribosomal RNA", at positions 56 to 518 of the family's 1533-position model. The record is from RNAcentral.
UGCAAGUCGAACGAUUCUUUGAUUAUAGCAAUAUUAUUAAAGAGGAGUAGGCGAACGGGUGAGUAACACGUAGAUAAUCUGCCUUCAGACGGGGACAACUCAGGGAAACUUGUGCUAAUACCCGAUGAGACCACAAGAAGGGAUUUUUGUGGCCAAAGGCGGGCAGCAAUGCUCGUGCUGAAAGAUGAGUCUGCGUCCUAUCAGCUAGUUGGUGGGGUAAAUGCCUACCAAGGCUAAGACGGGUAGCCGGCCCGAGAGGGUGAACGGCCACACUGGGACUGAGACACGGCCCAGACUCCUACGGGAGGCAGCAGUGAGGAAUUUUCCGCAAUGGGCGCAAGCCUGACGGAGCGACGCCGCGUGAGGGAUGAACCAGCUUUCGGGUUGUAAACCUCUUUUAUUAAGGAAAAAGAUCUAUAUGCUAAUAUCAUGUAGAUUUGAUGGUACUUAUUGAAUAAGCCCCGGCUAACUACGUGCCAGCCGCAGC